This is a small nuclear RNA of Ictidomys tridecemlineatus (thirteen-lined ground squirrel), 107 nucleotides long. Lineage: Eukaryota; Metazoa; Chordata; Mammalia; Rodentia; Sciuridae. The record is from Ensembl.
GUGUUCACUUCAGUAGCACAUAUACUAAAAUUGGAAUUAUACAGAGAAGAAUAGCAUGGCCCCUGGGCAAGGAUGACAUGCAAAUUCAUGAAGCAUUCCAUAUUUUU